RNAcentral lists this ribosomal RNA (253 nucleotides) under uncultured bacterium. RNAcentral describes it as "partial 16S ribosomal RNA". It matches the Rfam family "Bacterial small subunit ribosomal RNA", at positions 524 to 776 of the family's 1533-position model. The record is from RNAcentral.
UACGUAGGUGGCAAGCGUUGUCCGGAUUUACUGGGCGUAAAGAGCGCGCAGGCGGUCGUUCAAGUCGCGUGUGAAAGCCCCCGGCUCAACUGGGGAGGGUCACGCGAUACUGAUCGACUCGAAGGCAGGAGAGGGUAGUGGAAUUCCGGGUGUAGCGGUGAAAUGCGUAGAUAUCCGGAGGAACACCAGUGGCGAAGGCGACUUUCUGGCCUGUUCUUGACGCUGAGGCGCGAAAGCUAGGGGAGCAAACGGG